RNAcentral lists this ribosomal RNA (429 nucleotides) under Verrucomicrobiota bacterium. RNAcentral's name for it is "Verrucomicrobia bacterium partial 16S ribosomal RNA". It matches the Rfam family "Bacterial small subunit ribosomal RNA", at positions 355 to 776 of the family's 1533-position model. Lineage: Bacteria; Pseudomonadati; Verrucomicrobiota. The record is from RNAcentral.
UAGGGAAUCUUCCGCAAUGGACGAAAGUCUGACGGAGCAACGCCGCGUGAGUGAAGAAGGAUUUCGGUUCGUAAACCUCUGUUGUUAGGGAAGAAAAAAUGUAUAGUAACUAUAUACAAAAGAGACGGUACCUAACCAGAAAGCCACGGCUAACUACGUGCCAGCAGCCGCGGUAAUACGUAGGUGGCAAGCGUUGUCCGGAAUUAUUGGGCGUAAAGCGCGCGCAGGUGGUUUAGAAAGUCUGAUGUGAAAGCCCACGGCUCAACCGUGGAGGGUCAUUGGAAACUAAUAAACUUGAGUGCAGGAGAGAAAAGUGGAAUUCCUAGUGUAGCGGUGAAAUGCGUAGAGAUUAGGAGGAACACCGGUGGCGAAAGCGGCUUUUUGGCCUGCAACUGACACUGAGGCGCGAAAGCGUGGGGAGCAAACAGG